Cordylochernes scorpioides is the source of this 73-nucleotide non-coding RNA. The record is from the annotation of a GenBank genome assembly. Lineage: Eukaryota; Metazoa; Arthropoda; Arachnida; Pseudoscorpiones; Chernetidae.
UCCAGGAUAGCCUAGUGGAUAUGGCAACUGCCCGGUAUGCAGAAGGUUGUGGGUUCGAUUCCCGCUCCUGGAC